AUUGAACGCUGGCGGCAAGCCUAACACAUGCAAGUCGACCGCGUGGCGGACGGGUGAGUAAUGUCUGGGAAACUGCCUGAUGGAGGGGGAUAACUACUGGACACGGUAGCUAAUACCGCAUACCAUCGGAUGUGCCCAGAUGGGAUUAGCUAGUUGGUGGGGUAAAGGCUCCCCUAGGCGACGAUGCCUCGCUAGUCUGAGAGGAUGACCAGCCACACUGGAACUGAGACACGGUCCAGACUCCUACGUGAGGUAGCAGUGGGGAAUAUUGCACAAUGGGCGCAAGCCUGAUGCAGCCAUGCCGCGUGUAUGAAGAAGGCCGUCGGGUUGUAAAGUACUUUCAGCGGGGAGGCGUUACCCGCAGAAGAAGCACCGGCUAACUCCGUGCCAGCCGCGGCGGUAAUUC
This 406-nucleotide ribosomal RNA is filed under the name uncultured bacterium. RNAcentral describes it as "partial 16S ribosomal RNA". It matches the Rfam family "Bacterial small subunit ribosomal RNA", at positions 30 to 526 of the family's 1533-position model. The record is from RNAcentral.